RNAcentral lists this transfer RNA (75 nucleotides) under Microscillaceae bacterium. RNAcentral's name for it is "tRNA-Val". It matches the Rfam family "tRNA". From Rfam's summary of the family: Transfer RNA (tRNA) molecules are approximately 80 nucleotides in length. Their secondary structure includes four short double-helical elements and three loops (D, anti-codon, and T loops). Further hydrogen bonds mediate the characteristic L-shaped molecular structure. tRNAs have two regions of fundamental functional importance: the anti-codon, which is responsible for specific mRNA codon recognition, and the 3' end, to which the tRNAs corresponding amino acid is attached (by aminoacyl-tRNA synthetases). tRNAs cope with the degeneracy of the genetic code in two manners: having more than one tRNA (with a specific anti-codon) for a particular amino acid; and 'wobble' base-pairing, i.e. permitting non-standard base-pairing at the 3rd anti-codon position. The record is from RNAcentral. Lineage: Bacteria; Pseudomonadati; Bacteroidota; Cytophagia; Cytophagales; Microscillaceae.
GGAAUCGUAGCUCAGUUGGUUUAGAGCAUCGCCUUGACAGGGCGGGGGUCGUAGGUUCGAGUCCUAUCGGUUCCA